AGAUAGCCANGCAUGUCUAGUACAUGCCGUAUUAAGGCGAAACCGCGAAUGGCUCAUUAAAUCAGUCAUGGUUCCUUGGAUCGUACCUUACUACUUGGAUAACUGUGGCAAUUCUAGAGCUAAUACAUGCAGCAGAGCUCCGACCUUCGGGGACGAGCGCUUUUAUUAGACCAAAACCAAUCGGACCUCGUGUCCGUCUCUUGUGGUGACUCUGUAUAACUUUGGGCUGAUCGCACGGGCCUGUCCCGGCGACGUAUCUUUCAAGUGUCUGCCUUAUCAACUUUCGAUGGUAGGUUACGUGCCUACCAUGGUCGUAACGGGUAACGGGGAAUCAGGGUUCGAUUCCGGAGAGGGAGCCUGAGAAACGGCUACCACAUCCAAGGAAGGCAGCAGGCGCGCAAAUUACCCACUCCCAGAUCGGGGAGGUAGUGACGAAAAAUAACAAUACGGGACUCUUUUGAGACCCCGUAAUUGGAAUGAGUACACUCUAAAUCCUUUAACGAGGAUCCAUUGGAGGGUAAGUCUGGUGCCAGCAACCGCGGUAAUUCCAGCUCCAAUAGCGUAUAUUAAAGUUGUUGCGGUUAAAAAGCUCGUAGUUGGAUCUCAGUUCCAGACGGGUGGUCCACCUACCGGUGGUUACUGCCUGUUCUGAACAGUCAGCCGGUUUCUCUUGAUGAUCUUCACCGGUUGUCUUGGGUGACCGGCAAGUUUACUUUGAAAAAAUUAGAGUGCUCAAAGCAGGCGUGACGCCUGAAUAAUGGUGCAUGGAAUAAUGGAAUAGGACCUCGGUUCUAUUUUGUUGGUUUUCGGAACACGAGGUAAUGAUUAAGAGGGACAGACGGGGGCAUUCGUAUUGCGACGCUAGAGGUGAAAUUCUUGGACCGUCGCAAGACGACUACUGCGANAUUUUUUUUUCCCANNAAAAA
RNAcentral lists this ribosomal RNA (926 nucleotides) under Agelena koreana. RNAcentral describes it as "SSU rRNA". It matches the Rfam family "Eukaryotic small subunit ribosomal RNA", at positions 41 to 968 of the family's 1831-position model. The record is from RNAcentral. Lineage: Eukaryota; Metazoa; Arthropoda; Arachnida; Araneae; Agelenidae.